RNAcentral lists this ribosomal RNA (336 nucleotides) under uncultured bacterium. RNAcentral describes it as "bacterial SSU rRNA". It matches the Rfam family "Bacterial small subunit ribosomal RNA", at positions 28 to 355 of the family's 1533-position model. The record is from RNAcentral.
GACGAACGCUGGCGGCGUGCCUAACACAUGCAAGUCGAGCGAUCGGCCCGGGCGGGGUAACCCGCUCGGGUACGGAGCGGCGAACGGGUGAGUAACACGUGGGUAACCUACCCCAGACACCGGGAUAACCCCGGGAAACCGGGGCUAAUACCGGAUACUCCGGCCGGACCGCAUGGCCUGGCCGGGAAAGCUCAGGCGGUCUGGGAUGGGCCCGCGGCCUAUCAGCUUGUUGGUGGGGUAACGGCCCACCAAGGCUACGACGGGUAGCUGGUCUGAGAGGACGGCCAGCCACACUGGGACUGAGACACGGCCCAGACUCCUACGGGAGGCAGCAUG